This 75-nucleotide transfer RNA is filed under the name Candidatus Omnitrophota bacterium. Its description in RNAcentral is "tRNA-Arg". It matches the Rfam family "tRNA". From Rfam's summary of the family: Transfer RNA (tRNA) molecules are approximately 80 nucleotides in length. Their secondary structure includes four short double-helical elements and three loops (D, anti-codon, and T loops). Lineage: Bacteria; Pseudomonadati; Candidatus Omnitrophota. The record is from RNAcentral.
GCGCCUGUAGCGUAAUGGAUAACGCGUUGGCCUCCGGAGCCAUGUAUGCAGGUUCGACUCCUGUCAGGCGCGCCA